RNAcentral lists this ribosomal RNA (247 nucleotides) under uncultured bacterium. Its description in RNAcentral is "partial 16S ribosomal RNA". It matches the Rfam family "Bacterial small subunit ribosomal RNA", at positions 523 to 769 of the family's 1533-position model. The record is from RNAcentral.
AUACGAAGGUCCCGAGCGUUGUUCGGAAUCACUGGGCGUAAAGGGAGCGUAGGCGGCGUGGUAAGUCAGAUGCGAAAUCCCGGAGCUCAACCCCGGAACUGCAUCCGAUACUGCCGUGCUAGAGUUUUGGAGAGGUAGCUGGAAUUCACGGUGUAGCAGUGAAAUGCGUAGAUAUCGUGAGGAACACUCGUGGCGAAAGCGAGCUACUGGACAACAACUGACGCUGAGGCUCGAAGGCCAGGGUAGC